AACCUGCCCAAGAGAUCGGGAUAACACCUGGAAACAGAUGCUAAUACCGGAUAACAACAGAUGAUGCCUAUCAACUGUUUAAAAGAUGGUUCUGCUAUCACUCUUGGAUGGACCUGCGGUGCAUUAGCUAGUUGGUAGGGUAACGGCCUACCAAGGCGACGAUGCAUAGCCGAGUUGAGAGACUGAUCGGCCACAUUGGGACUGAGACACGGCCCAAACUCCUACGGGAGGCAGCAGC
Molecule: ribosomal RNA, 238 nt
Filed under: uncultured Lactobacillus sp.
Lineage: Bacteria; Bacillati; Bacillota; Bacilli; Lactobacillales; Lactobacillaceae
Description: partial 16S ribosomal RNA
Rfam family: Bacterial small subunit ribosomal RNA
Source: RNAcentral